This 86-nucleotide transfer RNA is filed under the name Actinomycetes bacterium. RNAcentral's name for it is "tRNA-Leu". It matches the Rfam family "tRNA". Rfam says of the family: Transfer RNA (tRNA) molecules are approximately 80 nucleotides in length. Lineage: Bacteria; Bacillati; Actinomycetota; Actinomycetes. RNAcentral also lists the same sequence under 4 other names. The record is from RNAcentral.
GCCCGGGUGGCGGAACCGGUAGACGCGGCUGGCUUAAAACCGGCUGUCCCGCAAGGGACGUGGGGGUUCGAGCCCCUCCCCGGGCA